GCCCGGGUAGCCCAAUCGGUCGAGGCAGUGGCCUUAAAAGCCAUGGUCCGCAAGGACGUACGGGUUCGAGUCCCGUCCCGGGUA
Molecule: transfer RNA, 84 nt
Filed under: Actinomycetota bacterium
Lineage: Bacteria; Bacillati; Actinomycetota
Description: tRNA-Leu
Rfam family: tRNA
About the family: Transfer RNA (tRNA) molecules are approximately 80 nucleotides in length. Their secondary structure includes four short double-helical elements and three loops (D, anti-codon, and T loops).
Source: RNAcentral